UAUAUUUUAGUUUAUGAUGAAUAUAAGUUUUUGAUACUUAAGGAAAUAGUUUGAUCCUAUUAAAUAUAA
RNAcentral lists this transfer RNA (69 nucleotides) under Apriona germarii. RNAcentral's name for it is "Apriona germari tRNA-Gln". It matches the Rfam family "tRNA". Rfam says of the family: Transfer RNA (tRNA) molecules are approximately 80 nucleotides in length. The record is from RNAcentral. Lineage: Eukaryota; Metazoa; Arthropoda; Insecta; Coleoptera; Cerambycidae.